Molecule: long non-coding RNA, 314 nt
Filed under: Dasypus novemcinctus (nine-banded armadillo)
Lineage: Eukaryota; Metazoa; Chordata; Mammalia; Cingulata; Dasypodidae
Description: lncRNA (ENSDNOG00000051551.1)
Source: RNAcentral
GUCCAGGCGUCUGCCCUAAAGGCGUGGGGUCUCGUCAUCCCCUCCAAGGCUCGUCCCUGCUCUCGGGCCCGCCGCGGUCACUGUAGCUUCGGACAGCGGCCGGGUAGGACGGCUCCGAGGCUCUCUCUCCUUUCAUUUCACUUUCUUCCGGAGUUGACACAUUUGAAUCCUGCCCCAUCACUCUGGCAAGAUAGCAGAGACAAGAGCUAGUAUUGUCCCAACUUAAGUGGAAGGGAAGAGGUGGGAGGUUAAUAGACUGGAAUUUUGCAGAUCUCCCCUUUUCUCACUCUGUCUACUUCUGAGCCCUCCUGUCU